AUUCAACCAAAGAGAGAUCCAAUUUUUGCAUGUGUAAAUCCGAAACCAUAGAUUCCAAGAACUGGUUUAUUUCAUUUUCUUGUUACUGCACAAGUGAAGUAUACACAUUAAUACAACAAGAAAUUAAACUAUAUUCAAAGAUGCCUUACCUCACACCUUUAAUAGCUUUGAUGCCAGAUUUGUUGGGUAUUUUGACCCAAAACCGCAAUCAACACAAAUAACACAAAUGCACAGUGCAGGAAAAAUAAAGAACAUGGUAAAAUUGUUCACCUAGUUCAGCCUAAACGGCUUAAUCUGGGGGGCUCAGAGUUAGCCUAAUCCACUGGUGCAAAUCUACCUCCCAAAGAGAGUAAAGUACAGAGAACUAAUGGAAACAAUUAGAUGGAUUAUCGAUCCAAACGAAUCUCAAAUCUGGACACAAAAAUCUCCUUCCUUACAAAAUGGCCACAAACACAAACUACAGCAGAUCGCUAACUAACCGAAAAAUCACACAAGGAGUAACACAUACUCCAGAUUCAAAACCAAGAAGAGAGAAGAAGAAAUCUUCGAAGAAGAGAGAGAGAGAAAAUCGAGAGUCAAAAAGGUAGUAAAUUGAAG
This 597-nucleotide long non-coding RNA is filed under the name Olea europaea (common olive). RNAcentral's name for it is "long non-coding RNA (OEUR_LNC008763)". The record is from RNAcentral. Lineage: Eukaryota; Viridiplantae; Streptophyta; Magnoliopsida; Lamiales; Oleaceae.